RNAcentral lists this ribosomal RNA (233 nucleotides) under uncultured Haemophilus sp. Its description in RNAcentral is "partial 16S ribosomal RNA". It matches the Rfam family "Bacterial small subunit ribosomal RNA", at positions 103 to 339 of the family's 1533-position model. The record is from RNAcentral. Lineage: Bacteria; Pseudomonadati; Pseudomonadota; Gammaproteobacteria; Pasteurellales; Pasteurellaceae.
CGGGUGAGUAAUGCUUGGGAAUCUAGCUUAUGGAGGGGGAUAACUAUGGGAAACUGUAGCUAAUACCGCGUAGAAUCGGGAGAUGAAAGUGUGGGACCUUCGGGCCACAUGCCAUAGGAUGAGCCCAAGUGGGAUUAGGUAGUUGGUGAGGUAAAGGCUCACCAAGCCGACGAUCUCUAGCUGGUCUGAGAGGAUGAACGGCCACAUUGGGACUGAGACACGGCCCAGACUCC